UGUACAUACCUCAAAUGGAGAGGGAUGCAAACCAAGAGAGAAAAGAAAAAGGCGACGUAUCAUUCGUGUUUGGCCCUGUGUUUCUUUUUUGGCCCUUUUGCAUUCUCUUUUGUGUGUUUUGAACUUUGUGUUGUUU
Molecule: non-coding RNA, 136 nt
Filed under: Lotharella globosa
Lineage: Eukaryota; Cercozoa; Chlorarachniophyceae
Source: RNAcentral